AUGGGUUUUUCUUCCGUGGACGGGCAGAGAAUGCCUUCAUGGAUUUAUUUGGGUAUGAAUGCUGGUAGGGCCUUCCACUCCAUUAGUUGGAAGCAGCAACUGAUGCCAUGGCCGACUGCAUCAGGUGUUUGUUGGAAGCUGGCCCUGAUCCAAAAGUUUUGGCCCCUGUCUCUAGCGCUGGCCCGGGUUCGCCGGAUGGUGCCCGUCGGCGUUGCUGGCCGUGGCCGGGCCUCCCUUGCGCCGCCCAACCUCUCGUGGUUGGAUGCUCCUGACCGGAGUUGGCAUCUGGGGCGGAGCAGCUGUGGGAUGCCGAACAACCUCACCGCACAUGACGGCGGUUUUUCAUGCCCUAAUGCCACACUUGAUCCCUCCCUUUGUAUCUGCUGGCCACGAAUCACUCGUAUCUGCUGUUGA
RNAcentral lists this ribosomal RNA (414 nucleotides) under Triticum aestivum (bread wheat). RNAcentral's name for it is "partial small subunit ribosomal RNA". Lineage: Eukaryota; Viridiplantae; Streptophyta; Magnoliopsida; Poales; Poaceae. The record is from RNAcentral.